This 1924-nucleotide long non-coding RNA is filed under the name Felis catus (domestic cat). Its description in RNAcentral is "lncRNA (ENSFCAG00000041044.2)". Lineage: Eukaryota; Metazoa; Chordata; Mammalia; Carnivora; Felidae. The record is from RNAcentral.
GAAAAACGAGGGUUCUCACCCCCCACCCCCUCUCCCUAUCCUCUAGGGUUCAUUGCUCUGGGCAGUUAGUUUCUUUUCCAAAACCUUUGGGUGUGGAUGUGGAGGGAGGGGGGCGGUGCGGCUCGCUAGGGGCCGCCCCACGUGGCACACAGUGGGCACCCGCAAGGUCCGGCCGGGCGGGGAGGAGCGAGAACUGCAGGAGCGGUUCUCCCUGCACCCCCACCCCCACCCCCACCCCCACCCCCACCCCCUGGUUUCCUUUUUCCAGUUUGCUUUAUUCAGCCUGGAUGAGCUCCUCUUACCGAGGAAGAUGAAUGCCUGGACGAGUACCUGGAGAUGGUCAACAGCGGCGCCAAGAACCAAAACCUUUCACCUAUUUUAUUUGAUCCAGCAACAAUGAAAUAAAAGUGCUGAAGUCCAUCUUGUACAUCUAACGAAACACAACAUGCAAGCAAAUACAAGAAGACUGAUUCAAUGUGAAGAUAUAAUUUUUUUCCAGCUAAUUUUGAAAAAAGAAAUCACGUGGAGUUAAGACCUUCAACACAUCUUUGAAACUAUGUGGAGGAAAGUGUAACCAUAACCUUGGAUAAGUAUGGUAUUGAUGCAUUAAUACUUCUUUCAUAUCACAGUGCCUAGAACAUGAUCAAACAUUAAAAAAAAAAAAUCAAGCCCAUCUGAACUAGUUUUAUUUUCCUUAACUCUCAAAGAUUGCCAUGGCAGAAACUUGGAAGUAGGGAAGUGAAACAUCGUUUUCCUGGUGGAGCAGGAAAAAGAAUCUUGAAAGUCCUGAAUUCAAAUCCAGUGCUUCUCUUGAGUUGGAAGAAAAAUGAUUGCACCAUAUCCACAUGGCAGGGAGUAUGUACACAGGCAAGCCUUUCCCAAGCUCUUGUUGGCAUUGGCAAAAGACGCUCCUGUCCUGUGCAGGAAACUUAGAGUCCACCUGACAACGUCUUCGGUCUGGGAAGUUCAGAAAGAAUGCAGUGAAAAAUGAGUUUUCUUUUUUGUGACCAAAUCAUUUAAAAAGCGUUGAGUUCUCCUCAUGUAGAACAGUUCUAGAAUCUUAGACUAUUCUGCUCUCUCAUACCGGGGGGAGUUUUCUAGACUCCCUAGAGUUUUUUCAAAGCAAAAAGUUCUAAACUAUACAGAGGGAGCUGAUCUGAUGAUUAUUCAAAGCCCAUUAUUUCAUUUCAUUCCAUCUGACAAAACCCUGCUGCUGGAUAUUGUGGAGGACAUGCCUAGUCUCCACCAGUAUCUGAUGUUCUAACCCUAUUGGGCAUGUUCAGGGCCCUUAGUAUUGGGUGGGGCCCCAUCUCUGGUCUCUAUCUUCCUCUUCUCUUGACAUGGUGAGGACAAAUAGUAAAGCUGGUUGGGCUUUUGAAUGGCCAUAUAAGCAGCAGUGGUCCUCCUGAGUCACCUAAACUUGCAGUGGAUGUUGAGUGACAGAGAAGAAACUUGUGAGUUAAAAGCCACUAGGACUUGGUGGUUAUAUGAUUGCAUUGUAAUAGCCUACUCUGAUUAAUACGCAUGUACAUUUAUUUGGGGACUACAUAACUUACUUGCAGCAAAACAAUGUCUUAUAGUUGACUAAAACUUGGUAACUAAUCUCUGAAAAGCUUGAAGAUUCUGUUACAAAAACCAUUCUAGUUUUUAUUUACAGCCAUGCAAAAAAAGCUUUAAUGCCUGGAAAUCUAUAGCCAUCCUAAAAGUGAUUUUUAAAAUCAUCUUAGCCAUUUUGUAAGCCUAGUAGCUUUAAGUAUAUUUACAUUGUUGUACAAGUAAUCCCCAUACUUGUGCAUUUUGCAAAACUGAAACACUGUACCAAUCAAAUAACAACUCCUAUUUUCCCUACCCUGGAAACCACUAUUCUUUCUAUAAAUUUGCGUAUGUUACAUACGUUAUAUAAUAAAAGCUGUUUUCAUUUUUG